ACGGGAUAUAGCUCAGCUUGGUAGAGCACCUGCUUUGGGAGCAGGGUGUCGUAGGUUCAAAUCCUACUAUCCCGAAU
This 77-nucleotide transfer RNA is filed under the name Seminavis robusta. RNAcentral's name for it is "tRNA-Pro". It matches the Rfam family "tRNA". Rfam says of the family: Transfer RNA (tRNA) molecules are approximately 80 nucleotides in length. Their secondary structure includes four short double-helical elements and three loops (D, anti-codon, and T loops). Further hydrogen bonds mediate the characteristic L-shaped molecular structure. tRNAs have two regions of fundamental functional importance: the anti-codon, which is responsible for specific mRNA codon recognition, and the 3' end, to which the tRNAs corresponding amino acid is attached (by aminoacyl-tRNA synthetases). tRNAs cope with the degeneracy of the genetic code in two manners: having more than one tRNA (with a specific anti-codon) for a particular amino acid; and 'wobble' base-pairing, i.e. permitting non-standard base-pairing at the 3rd anti-codon position. The record is from RNAcentral. Lineage: Eukaryota; Bacillariophyta; Bacillariophyceae; Naviculales; Naviculaceae.